UCGAGUUCUAAACUCCCAAACCUUUGUGAACAUACCUUUGUUGCCUCGGCGGUUUAACCACCGCCGGCGGCCAACCAAACUCUGUUUUCUACAGUAUCUUCUGAGUUAUCUUAUAAAUAAGAAUUA
This 126-nucleotide unclassified non-coding RNA is filed under the name uncultured Acremonium. RNAcentral describes it as "sequence contains ITS1". Lineage: Eukaryota; Fungi; Ascomycota. The record is from RNAcentral.